Molecule: long non-coding RNA, 326 nt
Filed under: Physcomitrium patens
Lineage: Eukaryota; Viridiplantae; Streptophyta; Bryopsida; Funariales; Funariaceae
Description: long non-coding RNA (PPAT_LNC014782)
Source: RNAcentral
GAGAACCCCAAACAACCCAAACUGUUAAUCUUCAAUACCGCUUUGUACUUACGAUCUUGUAUCCACUGACUGUCUUGUUAGAUUAACCCAAUAAAUUUCAUUCACUCCGCAUACUCAAUCCUAUAGACACCCUUUUAAUCCUUCAAUCACAGACGUGACUCAAUUUCACAAAAUAGUCAAGAGUAUUCAAACCCACUUCAUUAAAAAUCUCGAUUCACCAUUAUAAUACUGACUUCAGCAACGAUUGCCUCAGUCUUCCCAAAACUCUACGAAGAAGAAAAACCCAAAUUCUAUGUCUUUCCUUCACCGACCCGAAGUAUGAAGCU